This 468-nucleotide ribosomal RNA is filed under the name uncultured bacterium. RNAcentral describes it as "partial 16S ribosomal RNA". It matches the Rfam family "Bacterial small subunit ribosomal RNA", at positions 28 to 507 of the family's 1533-position model. The record is from RNAcentral.
GACGAACGCUGGCGGCGUGCUUAACACAUGCAAGUCGAACGGAAAGGCCCUGCUUUUGUGGGGUGCUCGAGUGGCGAACGGGUGAGUAACACGUGAGUAACCUGCCCUUGACUUUGGGAUAACUUCAGGAAACUGGGGCUAAUACCGGAUAGGAGCUCCUGCUGCAUGGUGGGGGUUGGAAAGUUUCGGCGGUUGGGGAUGGACUCGCGGCUUAUCAGCUUGUUGGUGGGGUAGUGGCUUACCAAGGCUUUGACGGGUAGCCGGCCUGAGAGGGUGACCGGCCACAUUGGGACUGAGAUACGGCCCAGACUCCUACGGGAGGCAGCAGUGGGGAAUAUUGCACAAUGGGCGGAAGCCUGAUGCAGCAACGCCGCGUGCGGGAUGGCUGCCUUCGGGUUGUAAACCGCUUUCGCCUGUGACGAAGCGUGAGUGACGGUAAUGGGUAAAGAAGCACCGGCUAACUACGUG